This 552-nucleotide ribosomal RNA is filed under the name uncultured archaeon. RNAcentral's name for it is "bacterial SSU rRNA". It matches the Rfam family "Archaeal small subunit ribosomal RNA", at positions 876 to 1429 of the family's 1478-position model. The record is from RNAcentral.
GCACCACAAGGCGUGAAGCGUGCGGUUUAAUUGGAGUCAGCACCGGAAACCUUACCGGGGGCGACAGCAGGUUGAAGGCCAGAUUGACGAUCUUGCCAGACAAGCUGAGAGGAGGUGCAUGGCCGUCGCCAGUUCGUGCCGUGAGGUGUCCUGUUAAGUCAGGCACCCCUCGAGACCCACGUUCCCUGUUGCUACCAAAGAAAGUUUCCAAGGGGCACACUGGGAGGACAGCCGCCGAUAAGGCGGAGGAAGGAGUGGGCCACGGCAGGUCAGUAUGCCCCGAAUCCCCCGGGCCACACGCGUGCUGCAAUGGCCGGUACAAUGGGUUCCGACCUCGUGAGAGGAGGGUAAUCCCUAAAGCCGAUCGUAGUUUGGAUCGAGGGCUGCAACCCGCCCUCGUGAAACUGGAAUGCCUAGUAAUCGCGUGUCAUUAACGCGCGGUGAAUACGUCCCUGCUCCUUGCACACACCGCCCGUCGUUCCACUCGAGUGGGUUUUGGGUGAGGCGCGGUCCUUGGUGGCUGUGUCGAGCCUGAGGUUCGCGAGAGGGGAA